Molecule: long non-coding RNA, 1104 nt
Organism: Panicum virgatum (switchgrass)
Lineage: Eukaryota; Viridiplantae; Streptophyta; Magnoliopsida; Poales; Poaceae
Exons: 4
Source: RefSeq, a predicted model, not a curated record
UCUCCCAAUUUCCAAUCCUGGCCUGCUCAAAAAAAAAAAAAAAAAAAUCCCAAUCCUGGCCGCCAGGGGCUGCCACACCUCUCCUCCCUACACAUCUCCUCAUCUACGCCGCCAGGGGCCGUCCGCCGUCCGCCCCUCUUCUCCCUCUGCGUCGCCAGGGGCCGAUGAUCCCCCCUCCCUCUCGGCCGCGUCGCCCGGUGGCCCAGGUGCCCCCCUCGCGCUCUCCCUCUCCUUCCGUCGCCAGCUUGCCGCCUCCGGGCAAGUGCCCCGGAUCCUUCGCCACCUCUGCGGGGGUCCUCCUCAUCAUCCCUUGAAGUCUGGACCGAUCGCCGACGCCGUAGGGUCCUCUGUGCCCGGCCUCCCGCCCACUAUCAACGGCCUGUGCCUCCAUCACCGGCAUCCCAGGUCGACCCCCCUCCCCUACCUGCGCCGACGAUCUGACCAUACCCCGACGCACCGGCGCCCUGCUUCCUCUCGGCGCCGCUGCCGCCCUUGCCCCGACACCUCGGCGCCCCGACGUCGAUGCCUGGCCGCCCACGCUCUGCUCCGACGCCCUGUCCGCACCACCAACUGACGCCAUGGGCCUGCGGCCCACGCCAGGACAACGGCCUCCACCCCCAACGCUGAGCUGCCACCCGCCGUGCCGCCUAGCCGCCUGGCCGCCGUGUGCCCGCGACGCUGCGCUGAGGACCGAGGCAACAAUUCUCUCCGAUGCAAAGCGUGCUGAGUGCUGCUGCUGCUAGCUAGCUACUGAAUUGUGCAAAGCACUGUAUACUAUGUGAUGUAGGGAAAAGACUGCAUAGGGAAAAGUACCUUACUGAAAUCUUAAAGGGCAGUAAAUCGAUAGCUGUGGGCACCUUGCAGCAAGGGCGCUUUCCUCAUUACUUGAUCAGAUUACUACUUUCAAAAUAAAGUAGCCCAUGGAGGAUUCCCAAUGAAGUGAAAAAGCAAGAUUUUGGCCCUGUGACUUAAUACAUUUAUGUGCCAGUGUUUCUAUGUCUAGCAAACUAGGAUAUAUAUUUGUGCUAUAUGUGAUUACUGUUAGUGACAAUUUGUGAAUAUUUUGAUUUGGUAUUUUAAAAUGAUAUAUAAUUAUUUGUGCUA